GUCUUUAUGUUUAUUUUGUUUUAGUUUUGUCGUCAAAAAUUAAAAAAAAUCUCUUAUUUUCCUCGAUGUUCAAUCUGAGGCUUGUCUUCGAUGUUCAAUCUGAAGACAUUUUUCUGCCGUCAAAAUAGGUACGGGAAGAUCGAACUUUUGAUUUGGCCGAUCUAUACAUUCAAUAAUCAUAUAUAAAAGAUAGGAUCAAGGUGAUCAGGGUUCAAAUUAGUUACAUGGAUGUUGACUUGAGGUUUUCGGACCUCUUUUACAAACUGAUAUGAAGGUAAUUAGACAAUUAAAAGAAUUGAUCUCCUUUCAGAUUGGAGUGCCAUAAACGUCAAUAAUACUUGUGAUUCUGCAAAGGACUGAUCUCAAUAAUACUUGUGAUUCUGCAAAGGACACUUAAACGGAUCAUCUAAUAAAUAUAGGUUUAAGUAGAACUUACAGUCUGAUCAGCUAACACGAAUUCUAGUGUUUCAUCGGCAUAGGGAGGGGUUUGUUUCCAUGAGCGAAUAACUUUCACUUGUAGACGCCAUUUACUUUUAAAAGGCCUCAAUCCGUUUAUAAAAGUAAGAUUCUUGUUCUCUGACAUGAUAAACUAUAAGCAACGAUCAAAAUAUUAGUUUAGGAGUGGUUUAGGUUAUUGAACACUUAUGCAAGGUUAGGUAUAUAUAAUGUAAAUGUGAAGCCCUAAUCAAUGGAAUAUACUUUAAGUGGGGCGGAAGACAAAAUCUUAUGAUUUUAUGGAAGAAUAUAAUUUGUUCCCAAAAUUACUCCAAAUCGUUCGUAAAUAAUGGGAAACCAGUGAGAUCGCUAUAUCUUUAGAUUUUUUUAUAAAUCUAGAAUUGAUUGUUUCUUCCUCUGCAAGAAAAUGAAUUGGUUGUAAUCAAAAAGAUAUGAUAUUGAAGAGGAGAUAUUCGAUUUUAGGUUUGUAUUUAGUGUGAUGUCCUCCUACGUUUUCGGUUAAAUGUUGUUAAGUUUCAAAUUAUUACUUUACUUUUACGUAAUCAUCUUUAGAAGUUAAUUUAUUGAUGUUAAGUUUAUAUUUGAAUAUGAAAAACACAUUAAUAUAACUGAAAAAGACAAGCUUAAAAAUAGGUAGGUAAAUUUAUUAUUUCAAUGGCAUUCAAAUGUAAUUAAGUUUGAAAACUAAGGGGUAAUUUUAAAUGGUACUUCUCUUUUAAUAAUAGAGAUAGGGGAUUGUUUGCUAACCAAAAAUGCAUAAAUGAAAGUAUUAAACGGGAUUAAGAUAACCCAGCUGAUUACAUAAUAAUUGUUUGCUAAACAUAAAAAUGCAUAAAUGAAAGGACUAAACCGGAAUAAUCUAACCCAAAUUGGUAAACCGAAAUUAACUGAUUAUAUAACAAGGUGAUUUGGCAAAUGUCGAUCAUAUUGUCUGGUUGAUUCCAAAGGGUUCAAAUUUCUGAGAUGGUUUACUCUACGUCCACCAGACGCAUUAUUAAUUGAUGGAGAACAUAGACUAAGACUGGAACCUGCACUAGCACUAGGAGGCCAGAUUAGGCACCAAAGAAUGCAUUUACUUUGUUGGGCUUGCGUUGAUUGUGACCUGAUAGUUGCUCUAGAGUGUUGAAUGAGUUAGAUAAGGAGUACAUGCAUCUUUCUCUAAUGUUUCUAUGUCGGAACGUUAGUACAGAAGAAUAUAAAGAAUAUUGUGAAGCUGGAAACAACAAGCAUUGUUGCUUUCCUAGUGGCUUGCUUUGGAGUCUGAUGUAUGCCAAGUUACAUGGUUAGCUGAAAGAAAAAGUUGAAGACAAGAGAUUCAACAGACGUCUUUUACUAUGAUACUCUAGAGUCAGCUUUGAAGCGUUUGAAGAUGGGGUAUCUGGUUGGUGCAACGUUACUGUUGUUUGAUGGAUGAGUGAGUAUUAUAAGGUGAAAAGUGAUGAAAAAAUGCAUAUAUACUAUGGUCUGAAACCAGGCGCUGCAUAUCACGAUGAACAUGCCGUGAUGAUUGUUGAUUUUAGAGUGAUCCGAGGGGUAAAGUUUUUUUCAUGCGGCAACGUGAAAAACGUCGACUCCACAUGCAUAAACUAUGCAAAUACUCGGGAGAGGUGUGGUCGAGUCCCACCAGAAAGCUUUUGAGGAUGGAUUAUACCAAUGUGUGGGAUGACAUUAUAUCCCUUCUCACUAGAAGGCGAAGCAAGCUGGAGCUGUUCUUGUUUCGAUAUGUUUUCCAGGCCACUCUAUGUGCAGUUUGGGCAGAACGGAAUGGGAGGAGAUUUGGAGAGGAUCCCAAAGCUGCGUCGGGGCUUACAAAAAUCAUCGACAAACAAGUUCGAAAUCGUAUCUCAAGCAUCAGAUACAACUCAGCUUAUCAGGGAGCGAUGGGAACUUGGUUCUCCUUCAUAUGAUCCUAUUUUCUAAUGUAAAGCAAAGUUUCAAUUUCUUUUGAGCUUAAAACAAGCAACUUUGGUUGUAAACAGUAUUUUUUGUUUGAAUUAGUUUAACAUUCUUUCAAAAAAAAAAGUUAUUGAAAAUUGAAAAUUACAGAAAAUGAUACAUUUAUUAUGGUA
This is a long non-coding RNA of Brassica napus (rape), 2525 nucleotides long. RefSeq lists it as uncharacterized. The transcript has 5 exons. Lineage: Eukaryota; Viridiplantae; Streptophyta; Magnoliopsida; Brassicales; Brassicaceae. The record is from RefSeq and is a predicted model, not a curated record.